RNAcentral lists this ribosomal RNA (440 nucleotides) under uncultured bacterium. Its description in RNAcentral is "partial 16S ribosomal RNA". It matches the Rfam family "Bacterial small subunit ribosomal RNA", at positions 338 to 795 of the family's 1533-position model. The record is from RNAcentral.
CCUACGGGUGGCAGCAGUGGGGGAUAUUGCACAAUGGGGGAAACCCUGAUGCAGCGACGCCGCGUGUGGGAAGACGGUCUUCUGGAUUGUAAACCACUGUCCCCAGGGACGAAAAUGACGGUACCUGGGGAGGAAGCUCCGGCUAACUACGUGCCAGCAGCCGCGGUAAUACGUAGGGAGCAAGCGUUGUCCGGAAUUACUGGGUGUAAAGGGAGCGUAGGCGGGGAUGCAAGUUGGGUGUAAAAACUACCGGCUCAACCGAUAGUCGCACUCAAAACUGCAGCUCUUGAGUGAAGUAGAGGCAGGCGGAAUUCCUAGUGUAGCGGUGAAAUGCGUAGAUAUUAGGAGGAACACCAGUGGCGAGGGCGGCCUGCUGGGCUUUUACUGACGCUGAGGCUCGAAAGUGUGGGGAGCAAACAGGAUUAGAUACCCGGGUAGUC